GAUGAACGCUGGCGGCGUGCCUAAUACAUGCAAGUCGAGCGAACGGACGAGAAGCUUGCUUCUCUGAUGUUAGCGGCGGACGGGUGAGUAACACGUGGAUAACCUCCCUAUAAGACUGGGAUACCUUCGGGAAACCGGGGCUAUUCCCCGUUAAUAUUUUGAACCACAUCGUUCAACCUUGAAACCCGGUCUUGCUGUCACUUCUAGUUUCAUCCUCGCUUCAUUAGCUAGUUGGUAAGGUAACGGCUUACCAAGGCAACGAUGCAUAGCCGACCUGAGAGGGUGAUCGGCCACACUGGAACUGAGACACGGUCCAGACUCCUACGGGAGGCAGCAGUAGGGAAUCUUGCGCAAUGGGCGAAAGCCUGACGGAGCAACGCCGCGUGAGUGAUGAAGGUCUUCGGAUCGUAAAACGCUGUUAUACGGGAAGAAAAGAUGUGGAAGAAAAUGUGCACAUCAUGACGGUACCUAAUCAGAAAGCCACGGCUAACUACGUG
This 497-nucleotide ribosomal RNA is filed under the name uncultured bacterium. RNAcentral's name for it is "partial 16S ribosomal RNA". It matches the Rfam family "Bacterial small subunit ribosomal RNA", at positions 28 to 507 of the family's 1533-position model. The record is from RNAcentral.